RNAcentral lists this small nuclear RNA (149 nucleotides) under Staphylococcus aureus. Its description in RNAcentral is "SaV8". Lineage: Bacteria; Bacillati; Bacillota; Bacilli; Caryophanales; Staphylococcaceae. The record is from RNAcentral.
GUUUUCAAUUUGCAACGUUGAAUGUGCAAUGCCAUAUUUUUCUUUCAACAAUGAUGAUACUUGAUCAAUCGCUUGAUAAUCAUCGCCAUCAUAUUUUUUAUCUAACACAACAUGGGCGCUUAAUGAAUAAUGCUCUGUUGUAAUACUCC